GGACGUUUAGCUCAGCUGGCUAGAGCGUUCGCUUGACGUGCGAAAGGUCAUAGGUUCGAGUCCUAUAACGUCCACCA
RNAcentral lists this transfer RNA (77 nucleotides) under Clostridiales bacterium. RNAcentral describes it as "tRNA-Val". It matches the Rfam family "tRNA". Rfam says of the family: Transfer RNA (tRNA) molecules are approximately 80 nucleotides in length. RNAcentral also lists the same sequence under 3 other names. The record is from RNAcentral. Lineage: Bacteria; Bacillati; Bacillota; Clostridia; Eubacteriales.